AUUGAACGCUGGCGGCAUGCCUUACACAUGCAAGUCGAACGGCAGCACGGGAGCAAUCCUGGUGGCGAGUGGCGAACGGGUGAGUAAUAUAUCGGAACGUGCCCAGUCGUGGGGGAUAACGCAGCGAAAGUUGUGCUAAUACCGCAUACGAUCUAUGGAUGAAAGCGGGGGAUCGCAAGACCUCGCGCGAUUGGAGCGGCCGAUAUCAGAUUAGGUUGUUGGUGAGGUAAAAGCUCACCAAGCCUGCGAUCUGUAGCUGGUCUGAGAGGACGACCAGCCACACUGGAACUGAGACACGGUCCAGACUCCUACGGGAGGCAGCAGUGGGGAAUUUUGGACAAUGGACGAAAGUCUGAUCCAGCAAUGCCGCGUGCAGGACGAAGGCCUUCGGGUUGUAAACUGCUUUUGUACAGAACGAAAAAAGUCUUUAAUAACACUAGAGGCUCAUGACGGUACUGUAAGAAUAAGCACCGGCUAACUACGUG
This 485-nucleotide ribosomal RNA is filed under the name uncultured bacterium. RNAcentral's name for it is "bacterial SSU rRNA". It matches the Rfam family "Bacterial small subunit ribosomal RNA", at positions 30 to 507 of the family's 1533-position model. The record is from RNAcentral.